AUUGAACGCUGGCGGCAGGCCUAACACAUGCAAGUCGAGCGGAUGAACGGUGAGUGCUCGUUGUUUCGGCGGCGGACUGGCGGGUGAGUCCUAGGUAUCUCCCUAUUUUUUGUGUAUUACGGCCUGACACGGGCGCUAAUACCGCAUUAGUGCUUACGGCCAACGUGUGAGAUCUUCGGACCUUCCGCUAUUAGAUGAUCCUAGGUCGGAUUAGCUAGUUGGUGGGGUAAAGGCCCACCAAGGCGACGAUCCGUAGCUGGUCUGAGAGGAUGAUCAGCCACACUGGAACUGAGACACGGUCCAGACUCCUACGGGAGGCAGCAGUGGGGAAUAUUGGACAAUGGGCGAAAGCCUGAUCCAGCCAUGCCGCGUGGGUGAAGAAGGCCUUCGGAUUGUAAAGCCCUUUUAGUUGGGAAGAAAAGCAGUAGGUUAAUACCUCGCUGUUCUGACGGUACCAAAAGAAUAAGCACCGGCUAACUUCGUG
RNAcentral lists this ribosomal RNA (484 nucleotides) under uncultured bacterium. RNAcentral's name for it is "partial 16S ribosomal RNA". It matches the Rfam family "Bacterial small subunit ribosomal RNA", at positions 30 to 507 of the family's 1533-position model. The record is from RNAcentral.